This 1306-nucleotide ribosomal RNA is filed under the name metagenome. RNAcentral describes it as "bacterial SSU rRNA". It matches the Rfam family "Bacterial small subunit ribosomal RNA", at positions 51 to 1327 of the family's 1533-position model. The record is from RNAcentral.
ACACAUGCAAGUCGUACGAGAACUCUUCUGCUUGCAGAAGAUAGUAAAGUGGCGCACGGGUGAGUAACGCGUGGGUAAUCUACCUCCGAAUCGGGGAUAACCCGCCGAAAGGCGAGCUAAUACCGGAUAAUAUCUUUAAAACUUAGGUUUUUAAGAUCAAAGGUGGUCUCUACAUGUAAGCUACUGUUGGGAGAUGAGCCCGCGUACCAUUAGCUUGUUGGUAGGGUAAUGGCCUACCAAUGCCGCGAUGGUUAGCUGGUCUGAGAGGAUGAUCAGCCACACUGGAACUGACACACGGUCCAGACUCCUACGGGAGGCAGCAGUGAGGAAUUUUGCGCAAUGGGGGAAACCCUGACGCAGCAACGCCGCGUGAGUGAUGAAGGCUUUCGGGUCGUAAAGCUCUGUCAAGUGGGAAGAAAAUGCUAGAUGCUAAUACCAUCUUGCACUGACGGUACCACUAAAGGAAGCACCGGCUAACUCCGUGCCAGCAGCCGCGGUAAUACGGGGGGUGCAAGCGUUAUUCGGAAUUAUUGGGCGUAAAGGGCGCGUAGGCGGUCUCUAAAGUCAGAUGUGAAAGCCCGGGGCUUAACCCCGGAAGUGCAUUUGAAACUCAGGGACUUGAGUAUGGGAGAGGGAAGUGGAAUUCCUGGUGUAGCGGUGAAAUGCGUAGAUAUCAGGAGGAACACCAGUGGCGAAGGCGACUUCCUGGACCAAUACUGACGCUGAGGCGCGAAGGCGUGGGGAGCAAACAGGAUUAGAUACCCUGGUAGUCCACGCAGUAAACGGUGAACACUAGGUGUAGCGGGUAUUGACCCCUGCUGUGCCGCAGCUAACGCAUUAAGUGUUCCGCCUGGGGAGUACGAUCGCAAGAUUAAAACUCAAAGGAGUUGACGGGGGCCCGCACAAGCGGUGGAGCAUGUGGUUUAAUUCGACGCAACGCGAAGAACCUUACCUGGAUUUGACAUCCCGAGAAGUCAUUCGAAAGAUUGAUUUGCCCUUCGGGGAACUCGGUGACAGGUGCUACAUGGCUGUCGUCAGCUCGUGUCGUGAGAUGUUGGGUUAAGUCCCGCAACGAGCGCAACCCCUAUCUUUAGUUACCAGCAAUUCGGUUGGGGACUCUAAAGAUACUGCCCCGGUUAACGGGGAGGAAGGUGGGGAUGACGUCAAGUCCUCAUGGCCUUUAUAUCCAGGGCUACACACGUGCUACAAUGGACUGUACAAAGGGUCGCGACCUCGCGAGAGUGAGCCAAUCCCAUAAAGCAGUUCUUAGUUCGGAUUGGAGUCUGCAACUCGACUCCAUGAAGCU